AGUCGAGCGGCAGCACGGGUACUUGUACCUGGUGGCGAGCGGCGGACGGGUGAGUAAUGCCUAGGAAUCUGCCUGGUAGUGGGGGAUAACGCUCGGAAACGGACGCUAAUACCGCAUACGUCCUACGGGAGAAAGCAGGGGACCUUCGGGCCUUGCGCUAUCAGAUGAGCCUAGGUCGGAUUAGCUAGUUGGUGGGGUAAAGGCUCACCAAGGCGACGAUCCGUAACUGGUCUGAGAGGAUGAUCAGUCACACUGGAACUGAGACACGGUCCAGACUCCUACGGGAGGCAGCAGUGGGGAAUAUUGGACAAUGGGCGAAAGCCUGAUCCAGCCAUGCCGCGUGUGUGAAGAAGGUCUUCGGAUUGUAAAGCACUUUAAGUUGGGAGGAAGGGCAUUAACCUAAUACGUUGGUGUUUUGACGUUACCGACAGAAUAAGCACCGGCUAACUACGUGCCAGCAGCCGCGGUAAUACGUAGGGUGCGAGCGUUAAUCGGAAUUACUGGGCGUAAAGCGUGCGCAGGCGGUUUUGUAAGUCUGACGUGAAAUCCCCGGGCUCAACCUGGGAAUUGCGUUGGAGACUGCAAGGCUGGAGUCUGGCAGAGGGGGGUAGAAUUCCACGUGUAGCAGUGAAAUGCGUAGAGAUGUGGAGGAACACCGAUGGCGAAGGCAGCCCCCUGGGUCAAGACUGACGCUCAUGCACGAAAGCGUGGGGAGCAAACAGGAUUAGAUACCCUGGUAGUCCACGCCCUAAACGAUGUCUACUAGUUGUCGGGUUUUAAUUAACUUGGUAACGCAGCUAACGCGUGAAGUAGACCGCCUGGGGAGUACGGUCGCAAGAUUAAAACUCAAAGGAAUUGAC
This 860-nucleotide ribosomal RNA is filed under the name uncultured bacterium. Its description in RNAcentral is "bacterial SSU rRNA". It matches the Rfam family "Bacterial small subunit ribosomal RNA", at positions 60 to 914 of the family's 1533-position model. The record is from RNAcentral.